UUUUUUUUUUUUUUCUUGCAGGGUGCCUGGUCUUUCCUCUAAAACAGCUGAUGCUGACCACUCUUAGAGACAUGCUCCCAGAUGAGCUCGUUUGAUCCACUAUACCCAGCAAGCCCCAUGCUCUAUCUAUCCAGGUCAUUGGUAACUUUUAGGUGCCUCAAGCCAGCUUCGGGGGACAGUGGUUGAGCAGCUCCCUAAUUUUGCAGAGAUCUGUACUUAGGAAGCCCCAGAGAGCUGGAAACAGGAGCUGAGGUGACCUGCUUAGCGGGCUACUGGUGUGUUUGCAAGACACACUGCAGGAGCGAUGAAAACUUCCAAAGGCAAUGACACAAGAAAGAAGGAAGGAAGGAAUAGGCCACCAAGCACCAUUGCCACGACUGAAAUCGCUAGACGUUAUCUGAGAAAUAUGACGCUACUUAGCCAAAUAGGGGUAAUACCAUAUUCUUCCAAGUCCCUGCAGCCGACUCUGUCAAGACAAGCCUCGCAUGACAAAUUCACUUGCCCUGCCGCGGCGCUUGCCUGGAUGGCUAAUUUAUCUAAAAAAUUGAGAUGCACAACUUUUGCCUCCCCUGCUUCGGAUGGGAAGUUGUUUUUCUGUUCCCUCCAGCCCUGGGAUGAAUACAUCUUGUCGGACGGGAUUAUUUCCUUCAGCCGCCCCAGCUCUACCCACAGCCGCUGCUCUUCAUUUGCCUUUUUUUUUUAAUGUUAUAACAACGAUUGCAAACACAUCUGGACAGGGAGGUGGGCAUGCAAAAUGAAGGAUUUUUCCAUUGGUGCAAGUCUGCUGCUUCUCUGAAUGUAGGAUCUGCUUUCCGGGUUGGUUUAUUAAUUUCUAUUUCUAUUCACUUUGACACUGGCUAGCCUAUUUCAUGAUUUUCAGGACGCUAAAUAAUAAUAAGCACCCUCA
Long non-coding RNA from Alligator mississippiensis (American alligator), 907 nucleotides. RefSeq lists it as uncharacterized. The transcript is spliced from 3 exons. NCBI's taxonomy places the organism in Eukaryota, Metazoa, Chordata, Crocodylia, Alligatoridae. The record is from RefSeq and is a predicted model, not a curated record.